Molecule: long non-coding RNA, 663 nt
Organism: Magnolia sinica
Lineage: Eukaryota; Viridiplantae; Streptophyta; Magnoliopsida; Magnoliales; Magnoliaceae
Exons: 5
Source: RefSeq, a predicted model, not a curated record
UGGGGGUAAAGUUCAUAAUUCUGUCUGCAUUUUGUUUAAUGAUAUAAUGCUAAGAGGAUUAUACAUUUGACUGAUAACUGAUUUUUUGCUUUGUCCCUAGACUGCUUCCCUUCUGUAAGCAAUGCAAUUGGGAAUAUCUCAAGUGCACAGAAGCUACAGUAUGAAAGUGCAUCAUGCUUUAUGGAUGCCAUGUAUUUUCAUGAAAAGGCUUUAUCAGUUUGCCUUGGCUGUCUUCUUGUGUUAAUUACAGCAAGAAGUGUGUUCGCUUGGGAUAUUUGGCGAAUUACCUUCAAAAGAAAGGACGUCUAUAGCCUUCUAAAGCUCUGAGAUUUGCUCUUGAUAUUGCUUGGUCAAGUAUGGUUACCUGAUUUGGCAAUUCUGCUUCUAUCCUUGUGCUUCUCUGUUGGAAUGUAACUCUUUAGAGAUGGUUCUGGACCAUGAUGAGAAGAUUGAGCUUCUGGUAGACAAAAUAGAGAACCUCCGCUCACAGGUGGUGAACCUCAAUAUCAUUGAGGGCCUGAACCUGCUGAAGGACUCCGAAAUACUGGUGCUGAUGCCUUUUACUGCUACACAGCUCACCAAAGAUCGAUAGAAGAAACCGGUCCCUUGGAAACAAUGGCAAUCAUUGGCAACAAGGAGAUCAUUGACAUUAACCAAGGUAUG